Molecule: ribosomal RNA, 393 nt
Filed under: uncultured bacterium
Lineage: Bacteria
Description: partial 16S ribosomal RNA
Rfam family: Bacterial small subunit ribosomal RNA
Source: RNAcentral
AUACGGAAGGUCCGGGCGUUAUCCGGAUUUAUUGGGUUUAAAGGGAGCGCAGGCGGCCUUUUAAGCGUGACGUGAAAUGCCGGGGCUCAACCUUGGAAUUGCGUCGCGAACUGGCGGGCUUGAGUACGCUCGAGGCAGGCGGAAUUUGUGGUGUAGCGGUGAAAUGCUUAGAUAUCACGAGGAACCCCGAUUGCGAAGGCAGCCUGCCGGGGUGUUACUGACGCUCAUGCUCGAAGGUGCGGGUAUCGAACAGGAUUAGAUACCCUGGUAGUCCGCACGGUAAACGAUGGACGCCCGCUGUUGGGCCCUAGGGUUCAGCGGCCAAGCGAAAGCGUUAAGCGUCCCACCUGGGGAGUACGCCGGCAACGGUGAAACUCAAAGGAAUUGACGGGG